AGUACAGUGGCGAACGGGUGAGUAACGCGUGGGAAUUAACCCUUUAGUGGAGGAUACUUCCGAGAAAUCGGGAAUAAUCCUGCAUAAGUCCCUUCGGGGAGAAAGGCGGCCUCUUGCUGCCGCUAAAGGACAAGCCUGCGUACUAUCAGCUUGUUGGUAGGGUAACGGCCUACCAAGGCUAUGACGGUUAGCCGGCCUGAGAGGGUGUCCGGCCACACUGGAACUUAGACACGGUCCAGACUCCUACGGGAGGCAGCAGUGGGGAAUAUUGCGCAAUGGGCGAAAGCCUGACGCAGCGACGCCGCGUGGAGGAUGAAGGUCUUAGGAUUGUAAACUUCUGUUAGGUGUGAAGAAAUUCGCAGCCUGAAUAAGGCUGUGCGAUGACGGUAGCAUCAAAGAAAGCACUGGCUAACUUCGUGCCAGCAGCCGCGGUAAUACGAAGGGUGCAAGCGUUAUUCGGAGUGAUUGGGCGUAAAGGGUGUGUAGGCGGUAUAUUAAGUCAACUGUUAAAUCUUUCAGCCUAACUGAGAGGCCGCAGUUGAAACUGGUGUACUUGAGGAUGGUAGAGAGGAGUGGAAUUCUCGGAGUAGCGGUUAAAUGCGUAGAUCUCGAGAGGAACACCGAUGGCGAAGGCAGCUCCUUGGACCAUAUCUGACGCUGAGGCACGAAAGCGUGGGUAGCAAACAGGAUUAGAUACCCUGGUAGUCCACGCCGUAAACGAUGGUCACUAGACGUUG
Molecule: ribosomal RNA, 737 nt
Filed under: uncultured bacterium
Lineage: Bacteria
Description: bacterial SSU rRNA
Rfam family: Bacterial small subunit ribosomal RNA
Source: RNAcentral